GACGAACGCUGGCGGCGUGCUUAACACAUGCAAGUCGAACGGAAAGGCCCCUCUGGGGGUACUCGAGUGCCGAACGGGUGAGUAACACGUGAGUAACCUGCCCUUGACUUCGGGAUAACUUCAGGAAACUGGGGCUAAUACCGGAUAGGAAUCCUUGCUGCAUGGUGGGGGUUGGAAAGCUUCGGCGGUUUUGGAUGGACUCGCGGCUUAUCAGCUUGUUGGUGGGGUAGUGGCUUACCAAGGCUUUGACCGGUAGCCGGCCUGAGAGGGCGACCGGCCACAUUGGGACUGAGAUACGGCCCAGACGCCGACGGGAGGCAGUAGGGGGGAAUAUUGCACAAUGGGCGGAGGCCUGAUGCAGCAACGCCGCGUGCGGGAUGACGGCCUUCGGGUUGUAAACCGCUUUCAGCAGGGGCGAAGCUUGUGGUGACGGUACCUGCAGAAGAAGCACCGGCUAACUACGUG
RNAcentral lists this ribosomal RNA (465 nucleotides) under uncultured bacterium. RNAcentral's name for it is "partial 16S ribosomal RNA". It matches the Rfam family "Bacterial small subunit ribosomal RNA", at positions 28 to 507 of the family's 1533-position model. The record is from RNAcentral.